UUUAAAUGACAAACAGGAUGGGAACUGAUAAUGAGGAAUGUAUGUCCAGUUUUUUUUUGUUUUUUUUUUAAAUACAGAUAUGAAAGAUGACAUUACCCUAACUUAGAGUCAUAGGAGUUUCAUUAAUUUAUUUACUCAGAUACUGAAACAGACAUCUGGCAUAUUCCUAUAAUCAGUAUCAUGGCCUUUGUAUACAACAAAAUUGAUUGGAGCUCCUAGACUAGAAAUAUAAUUCAAGAUUUAAAUAAGGCACUGGUCAUAGUUUUAGAAAGUGUGGCUAGCAUUCUGAAGGAAGACAGAGAGAUGGAAAGACAUCAAAGAAUGGGCAGGUCUGCCAAGAAAUGGUUUAUCCAGGGCUAAGUACAGAGAGGAAUAUAGAAGGGCUGUUGACAGAUCUUGUGUGGUGCCGCCAUGGUUCAACAGACUAAUUGAUUGGUAAUGGUAAGAAUUUAAUGUAUUUAAAAAAAAAAAAUUGUGUUAAUUACAUUAAGGGACUUAAUCAGUCUUUUUUUAUUUCCAGAAAAUAAUACCAGGGUUAUGCUCCUUUGACCAUUGAGUUCCAGGAUGAAGAAUGAAAGACAGAGAGCAAUGUGAAGACAUGAAAGAAUGGGCAGGUCUGCCAUGAAAUGGUUUAUCCAGGGCUAAGUACAGAGAGGAAUAUAGAAGGGCUGUUGACAAAUCUUGUGUGGUGCCCCCAUGGUUCAACAGACUGAUUGAUAGAUGCUGAAACAGACAUCUGGCAUAUUCCUAUAAUCAGUAUCAUGGCCUUUGUAUACAACAAAAUUGAUUGGAACUCCUAGACUAGAAAUAUAAUUCAAGAUUUAAAUAAGGCACUGGUCAUAGUUUUAGAAAGUGUGGCUAGCAUUCUGAAGGAAGACAGAGAGAUGGGAAGACAUCAAAGAAUGGACAGGUCUGCCAUGAAAUGGUUUAUCCAGGGCUAAGUACAGAGAGGAAUAUAGAAGGGCUGUUGACAGAUCUUGUGUGGUGCCCCCAAGGUUC
Molecule: long non-coding RNA, 999 nt
Organism: Biomphalaria glabrata
Lineage: Eukaryota; Metazoa; Mollusca; Gastropoda; Planorbidae
Exons: 4
Source: RefSeq, a predicted model, not a curated record